GAUGAACGCUGGCGGCGUGCCUAAUACAUGCAAGUCGAGCGGUAAGGCUCCUGCAGAUUAUUUAAACAGUGAAUUUUCACAAUCCGUCUCCCGGCUAGGAGAAGGAUAAGUUUGAAUGAUGUGCUGGAGUACACGAGCGGCGGACGGGUGAGUAACGCGUAAGAAUGUACCCCAAACUGAGGGAUAAGCACCAGAAAUGG
Molecule: ribosomal RNA, 200 nt
Filed under: uncultured bacterium
Lineage: Bacteria
Description: partial 16S ribosomal RNA
Rfam family: Bacterial small subunit ribosomal RNA
Source: RNAcentral